Molecule: long non-coding RNA, 952 nt
Organism: Manis pentadactyla (Chinese pangolin)
Lineage: Eukaryota; Metazoa; Chordata; Mammalia; Pholidota; Manidae
Exons: 2
Source: RefSeq, a predicted model, not a curated record
CCUGCCCGGGGGUGGACCCCCACGGCGGGGCGGUGGUCCCCGAAGAAGCUACGAGGUGGGGAGGACCCGCCUCCCGCCCGCACGGAUGGAUGUUCGGGAUAAGCUGCAGGGCAAGUCCGCCCACGGGCGCGCGGCGGGCAAGGAGCAGUGCGGGUGCCGGGGUGCCGGGAUCCCCGGAAACCCAGACAGAAGGGGCAGCCGUGCUGAGGGUCGGGAUUCUGCGGACCGGGAGGCGGAAAUCGGCCCCCUGACGUGACCCCGGGCCGGGCGAGUGGGACGCGGGCGGCGGUCCACUGCUGGGCGAGGAGCGCUGGACUCAAGGCAGGCCUUUUCUCUCCUGGGCAUGUCUCCUGGGAUUUGAGAACCCAGCCCGACUUCAUCCAGAAGGUGAAAGGAGCCCUCUUCCCCAUGAACCUCUCCAUCACAUCACCACUUCACAGAGAGAGAACUCUGGGCUCAAUUCGCUUGCUUUUUAAUAACCGAACAGGAAAGAACACAGUGCCUGGGAGCGGGCGUGGGGGACAGGCUUUGGGGGUUCUUGUGAGAGGGACAGGUUGAGAUGGGAAGCCGAGGGCACUGUUAAUGCCUCAUUCAGAGGAUGGGAAAGGAAGUUGGGAGAGGCUAAGGAAAGAAAUGCCUUGAUGUCAGAACUGGGGUAGAUUCCAGCCAGGAGAACUAGUCGUGGGUCCCCGAAGCAGCGGCAGCACGUGGGCACCAUGGUUUCUCCUUACUCCUCAGACGGCAGCUCCAUUCCCCAAGGGUUGCAGAGGGGGUUUCUGUGGGCUAUGACAGUGCUGUAGGAGGCCAGAGAGCUCAGCUGCCUGGAGAAACAAGACCCCUCCUGGCCCAAGGGACUCCAGGGAGACCAAAGCAGCUGUUCGGAUGAGAGAAAUUGAAAAAAGAAUAAAAGAAUGGAAAAGUAGGUCUCUCUCCAGAUUUCCUAGUUCCCAAA